GACGAACGCUGGCGGCGUGCUUAACACAUGCAAGUCGAACGGAAAGGCCCUGCUUUUGUGGGGUGCUCGAGUGGCGAACGGGUGAGUAACACGUGAGUAACCUGCCCUUGACUUUGGGAUAACUUCAGGAAACUGGGGCUAAUACCGCAUAGGAGCUCCUGCUGCAUGGUGGGGGUUGGAAAGUUUCGGCGGUUGGGGCUGGUCUCGCGGCUUAUCCGCUUGUUGGUGGGGUAGUUGCUUUCAAAGGCUUUGACGGGUAGCCGGCCUUGGAGGGGGACCGGCCACAUGGGGACUGAGAUACGGCCCAGACGCCUACGGGAGGCAGUAGUGGGGAAUAUUGCACAAUGGGCGGAAGCCUGAUGCAGCAACGCCGCGUGCGGGAUGACGGCCUUCGGGUUGUAAACCGCUUUCGCCUGUGACGAAGCGUGAGUGACGGUAAUGGGUAAAGAAGCACCGGCUAACUACGUG
Molecule: ribosomal RNA, 468 nt
Filed under: uncultured bacterium
Lineage: Bacteria
Description: partial 16S ribosomal RNA
Rfam family: Bacterial small subunit ribosomal RNA
Source: RNAcentral